UAGGGAAUCUUCGGCAAUGGGGGCAACCCUGACCGAGCAACGCCGCGUGAGUGAAGAAGGUUUUCGGAUCGUAAAGCUCUGUUGUAAGAGAAGAACGUGUGUGAGAGUGGAAAGUUCACACAGUGACGGUAACUUACCAGAAAGGGACGGCUAACUACGUGCCAGCAGCCGCGGUAAUACGUAGGUCCCGAGCGUUGUCCGGAUUUAUUGGGCGUAAAGCGAGCGCAGGCGGUUUAAUAAGUCUGAAGUUAAAGGCAGUGGCUUAACCAUUGUUCGCUUUGGAAACUGUUAGACUUGAGUGCAGAAGGGGAGAGUGGAAUUCCAUGUGUAGCGGUGAAAUGCGUAGAUAU
This 350-nucleotide ribosomal RNA is filed under the name uncultured bacterium. RNAcentral's name for it is "bacterial SSU rRNA". It matches the Rfam family "Bacterial small subunit ribosomal RNA", at positions 355 to 697 of the family's 1533-position model. The record is from RNAcentral.